CCAAACUUGGUCAUUUAGAGGAAGUAAAAGUCGUAACAAGGUCUCCGUUGGUGAACCAGCGGAGGGAUCAUUAUAGAGAGUCUAAAACUCCCUAAAACCCACUGUGAAUCUACCUAUUGUUGCUUCGGCGGACGUCCCGGUCGCCCUUGUGGUGCCGGAAUCAGGCGUCCGCCGGAGGAUUCAAACUCUUGUGUUCAUUUUGUAACUGUCUGAGUGGCGCAAGCAAAUCAAAUCAAAACUUUCAACAACGGAUCUCUUGGUUCUGGCAUCGAUGAAGAACGCAGC
Molecule: unclassified non-coding RNA, 285 nt
Filed under: uncultured fungus
Lineage: Eukaryota; Fungi
Description: partial contains small subunit ribosomal RNA, internal transcribed spacer 1, and 5.8S ribosomal RNA
Rfam family: Eukaryotic small subunit ribosomal RNA (bases 1-73)
Source: RNAcentral